GUGAAAUUAGCUCAGCUGGUUAGAGCGUCGGAUUGUGGUUCCGAAGGUCAAGGGUUCGAAACCCUUAUUUCACCCCA
RNAcentral lists this transfer RNA (77 nucleotides) under Candidatus Avimuribaculum pullicola. RNAcentral describes it as "tRNA-His". It matches the Rfam family "tRNA". Rfam says of the family: Transfer RNA (tRNA) molecules are approximately 80 nucleotides in length. Their secondary structure includes four short double-helical elements and three loops (D, anti-codon, and T loops). The record is from RNAcentral. Lineage: Bacteria; Pseudomonadati; Bacteroidota; Bacteroidia; Bacteroidales.